This 253-nucleotide ribosomal RNA is filed under the name uncultured bacterium. Its description in RNAcentral is "partial 16S ribosomal RNA". It matches the Rfam family "Bacterial small subunit ribosomal RNA", at positions 524 to 776 of the family's 1533-position model. The record is from RNAcentral.
UACGGAGGGAGCUAGCGUUGUUCGGAAUUACUGGGCGUAAAGCGCACGUAGGCGGCUUUUUAAGUCAGGGGUGAAAUCCCGGGGCUCAACCCCGGAACUGCCCUUGAAACUGGAGAGCUAGAAUCUUGGAGAGGCGAGUGGAAUUCCGAGUGUAGAGGUGAAAUUCGUAGAUAUCGGGAGGAACACCAGAGGCGAAGGCGGCGACCUGGAAGGUAACUGACACUGAGCAGCGAAAGCGUGGGGAGCAAACAGG